RNAcentral lists this ribosomal RNA (466 nucleotides) under uncultured bacterium. RNAcentral's name for it is "partial 16S ribosomal RNA". It matches the Rfam family "Bacterial small subunit ribosomal RNA", at positions 28 to 507 of the family's 1533-position model. The record is from RNAcentral.
GAUGAACGCUGGCGGCGUGCUUAACACAUGCAAGUCGAACGAUGAAGCCCAGCUUGCUGGGUGGAUUAGUGGCGAACGGGUGAGUAACACGUGAGUAACCUGCCCUUAACUCUGGGAUAAGCCGGGGAAACUGGGUCUAAUACCGGAUAGGAGCGUCCACCGCAUGGUGGGGGUUGGAAAGAUUUAUCGGUUUUGGAUGGACUCGCGGCCUAUCAGCUUGUUGGUGAGGUAAUGGCUCACCAAGGCGACGACGGGUAGCCGGCCUGAGAGGGUGACCGGCCACACUGGGACUGAGACACGGCCCAGACUCCUACGGGAGGCAGCAGUGGGGAAUAUUGCACAAUGGGCGCAAGCCUGAUGCAGCGACGCCGCGUGAGGGAUGACGGCCUUCGGGUUGUAAACCUCUUUCAGUAGGGAAGAAGCGAAAGUGACGGUACCUGCAGAAGAAGCACCGGCUAACUACGUG